GGCCGGGUGGCGCAAUGGUAGCGCGCUUGUUUUCGGCACAAGAAGUUAGGGGUUCGAGUCCCUUCUCGGUCA
Molecule: non-coding RNA, 72 nt
Organism: Aspergillus nanangensis
Lineage: Eukaryota; Fungi; Ascomycota; Eurotiomycetes; Eurotiales; Aspergillaceae
Source: the annotation of a GenBank genome assembly